AUGGAGAUAUAGGCAGUGUAGGAAGCAGCUCAGGGGAGGAGUACUGAGGGAACAAAACUCUCAGCUACUAAAUUGCUGGUCCCUGGAUUGGAACCGGUGUAGAGGUGAGCCCAGGUUCCACUACAAGCCACUGUGGGAGCAGUGUGCUGGGGCAGCCUCUUUGGGGGCUGCUGGGGACAGUCUGGAAGGAGACUUUGAUAAUACCCUGGAAAGGGGGGGACCUUCAGUGUGACUUGGAUGGAAGGCUAAACCAUGAAGAGGCAAGUGCUGCAGCUUUGUGAGCAUGAGAGGGGUCAUGGAGUGAUUGGGACAACAGUCUGAACAACUGCAGGAAGGAGUGUCAGAUUGUGGUAGUGCAUGGUAUCCUUGAAACUUCUGGGGACCCAAUCCAAGAACAGGACUCUCCCACUGUCCAUCUGAAAGGGGACUGCUGAAAGAACCUGAAGGGACAAAAGAACUAACCUGAAAGCAAAGUAGGAGAGAGUCCAGACCGCAACAGGGGUUCAGUCUAAGAAUAAUAACUGGAACUCUGAGCUACAGAAACUCGGCAUCCUGCCUAAAUUCAACAUUUAGCUUUCAAGCAAAGGAAAAUGACAGAAUACAUAAGAGACAGAUGGAAUUAAAACAGAUGGAAAUUGAUGUAAGCCAACUUCUGUCUGGCUGCUUCCACAAGAAAGCCAUGGAACUGAAAGACAAAGAAAUGAAGCAUGACCUGGCCAUAAUGGAGUGGAGGAGACAGAACCCCCACAAGGGUGCUCAACCUCUCCAAAACUCCACAAGUGGGAGCAGUUGUGUCCAGCAUGUAAUAGCCUCUCAAAAGUAAUUAAAAUACUAAACAAUG
Long non-coding RNA from Mauremys reevesii (Reeves's turtle), 841 nucleotides. RefSeq lists it as uncharacterized. NCBI's taxonomy places the organism in Eukaryota, Metazoa, Chordata, Testudines, Geoemydidae. The transcript has 5 exons. The record is from RefSeq and is a predicted model, not a curated record.